Molecule: ribosomal RNA, 253 nt
Filed under: uncultured bacterium
Lineage: Bacteria
Description: partial 16S ribosomal RNA
Rfam family: Bacterial small subunit ribosomal RNA
Source: RNAcentral
UACGGGGGGUGCGAGCGUUGUCCGGAAUCACUGGGCGUAAAGGGCGCGUAGGUGGCCUGAUAAGGGUGUGGUGAAAGUCCGGGGCUUAACCCCGGAUCUGCCGUGCCGACUGUUAGGCUAGAGUGCUGUAGGGGCAGGCGGAAUUCCGGGUGUAGCGGUGGAAUGCGUAGAGAUCCGGAGGAAGACCGGUGGCGAAGGCGGCGACCUGGGUAGAUACUGACGCUGAGGUGCGAAAGCGUGGGGAGCAAACGGG